UCGCACUCUGCCGCCGGCUCUUAGCCACUUAGUAGGGAUAUGAUGAGUGUUGAAGAAAGCCGUUGGAUAAAUAGAAUCAGAAGGAAGCUUGUCGAAUAGCUCAGAAAAGGAUCGAAUCCUGUAAUCCACAUCAGGUUCUUCAUCUGAGAGUUUCUCAACUGAAAUUCCUUCAAGUAGGAUAGAGAGUAUUGCUAUCUCUUGUUCUUGUUCAUCGACAGAAAUCUCC
RNAcentral lists this unclassified non-coding RNA (226 nucleotides) under Hevea brasiliensis (rubber tree). The record is from RNAcentral. Lineage: Eukaryota; Viridiplantae; Streptophyta; Magnoliopsida; Malpighiales; Euphorbiaceae.